Molecule: ribosomal RNA, 713 nt
Filed under: uncultured fungus
Lineage: Eukaryota; Fungi
Description: SSU rRNA
Rfam family: Eukaryotic small subunit ribosomal RNA
Source: RNAcentral
AGGAAGGCAGCAGGCGCGCAAAUUACCCAAUCCCGAUACGGGGAGGUAGUGACAAUAAAUACUGAUACGGGGCUCUUUUGGGUCUCGUAAUUGGAAUGAGAACAAUUUAAAUCCCUUAACGAGGAACAAUUGGAGGGCAAGUCUGGUGCCAGCAGCCGCGGUAAUUCCAGCUCCAAUAGCGUAUAUUAAAGUUGUUGCAGUUAAAAAGCUCGUAGUUGAACCUUGGGCCUGGCUGGCCGGUCCGCCUCACCGCGUGCACUGGUCCGGCCGGGCCUUUCCUCCUGGGGAGCCGCAUGCCCUUCACUGGGUGUGCCGGGGAACCAGGACUUUUACUUUGAAAAAAUUAGAGUGUUCAAAGCAGGCCUAUGCUCGAAUACAUUAGCAUGGAAUAAUAGAAUAGGACGUGUGGUUCUAUUUUGUUGGUUUCUAGGACCGCCGUAAUGAUUAAUAGGGAUAGUCGGGGGCGUCAGUAUUCAGCUGUCAGAGGUGAAAUUCUUGGAUUUGCUGAAGACUAACUACUGCGAAAGCAUUCGCCAAGGAUGUUUUCAUUAAUCAGGGAACGAAAGUUAGGGGAUCGAAGACGAUCAGAUACCGUCGUAGUCUUAACCAUAAACUAUGCCGACUAGGGAUCGGACGGGCUUCUAUGAUGACCCGUUCGGCACCUUACGAGAAAUCAAAGUUUUUGGGUUCUGGGGGGAGUAUGGUCGCAAGGC